AGCUUUGCGCCGUGGCAGCAUCGUAGCCACUGCGGUUUAUCCGAGGCGCGAUUACUCCUAAUCGAAAACUUUUCCCGAUACCCCGCCAUGACGACUUGAAAUAUAGUCAGCAUUGGCCAUUUUUGACAGUCUCUACGGAGA
RNAcentral lists this small nuclear RNA (141 nucleotides) under Aotus nancymaae (Ma's night monkey). RNAcentral's name for it is "U4 spliceosomal RNA (ENSANAG00000002642.1)". It matches the Rfam family "U4 spliceosomal RNA". From Rfam's summary of the family: U4 small nuclear RNA (U4 snRNA) is a component of the major U2-dependent spliceosome. The structure of U4 snRNA from yeast and human has been reported. The record is from Rfam by way of RNAcentral. Lineage: Eukaryota; Metazoa; Chordata; Mammalia; Primates; Aotidae.